CAGUAGCCACGGUAAUACAGAGGGUGCGAGCGUUAAUCGGAUUUACUGGGCGUAAAGCGUGCGUAGGCGGCUAAUUGAGUCGGAUGUGAAAUCCCCGAGCUUAACUUGGGAAUUGCAUUCGAUACUGGUUAGCUAGAGUGUGGGAGAGGAUGGUAGAAUUCCAGGUGUAGCGGUGAAAUGCGUAGAGAUCUGGAGGAAUACCGAUGGCGAAGGCAGCCAUCUGGCCUAACACUGACGCUGAGGUACGAAAGCAUGGGGAGCAAACAGGAUUAGAGACCCCAGUAGUCCCUGUCUCUUAUCU
RNAcentral lists this ribosomal RNA (301 nucleotides) under uncultured bacterium. RNAcentral describes it as "partial 16S ribosomal RNA". It matches the Rfam family "Bacterial small subunit ribosomal RNA", at positions 509 to 809 of the family's 1533-position model. The record is from RNAcentral.